RNAcentral lists this ribosomal RNA (402 nucleotides) under Anaplasma phagocytophilum. RNAcentral describes it as "bacterial SSU rRNA". It matches the Rfam family "Bacterial small subunit ribosomal RNA", at positions 865 to 1263 of the family's 1533-position model. Lineage: Bacteria; Pseudomonadati; Pseudomonadota; Alphaproteobacteria; Rickettsiales; Anaplasmataceae. The record is from RNAcentral.
CACUCCGACCGGGGAAUACGGUCGCAAGACUAAAACUCAAAGGAAUUGACGGGGACCCGCACAAGCGGUGGAGCAUGUGGUUUAAUUCGAUGCAACGCGAAAAACCUUACCACUCCUUGACAUGGAGAUUAGAUCCUUCUUAACGGAAGGGCGCAGUUCGGCUGGAUCUCGCACAGGUGCUGCAUGGCUGUCGUCAGCUCGUGUCGUGAGAUGUUGGGUUAAGUCCCGCAACGAGCGUAACCCUCAUCCUUAGUUGCCAGCGGGUUAUGCCGGGCACUUUAAGGAAACUGCCAGUGGUAAACUGGAGGAAGGUGGGGAUGAUGUCAAGUCAGCACGGCCCUUAUGGGGUGGGCUACACACGUGCUACAAUGGUGACUACAAUAGGUUGCAUGGUCGCAAGAA